Molecule: ribosomal RNA, 397 nt
Filed under: uncultured bacterium
Lineage: Bacteria
Description: partial 16S ribosomal RNA
Rfam family: Bacterial small subunit ribosomal RNA
Source: RNAcentral
AUACGUAGGGGGCGAGCGUUGUCCGGAAUGAUUGGGCGUAAAGGGCGCGUAGGCGGCUUGUUAAGUCUGGAGUGGAAGUCCUCUUUUCAAGGGAGGAAUUGCUUUGGAAACUGGCGGGCUUGAGUGCAGGAGAGGUUAUCGGAAUUCCCGGUGUAGCGGUGAAAUGCGUAGAGAUCGGGAGGAACACCAGUGGCGAAGGCGGGUAACUGGACUGCAACUGACGCUGAGGCGCGAAAGUGUGGGGAGCAAACAGGAUUAGAUACCCUGGUAGUCCAGACUGUAAACGAUGAAUGCUAGGUGUAAGAGGUAUCGACCCCUUUUGUGCCGGAGUCAACACAAUAAGCAUUCCGCCUGGGGAGUACGGCCGCAAGGUUGAAACUCAAAUGAAUUGACGGGG